Long non-coding RNA from Neofelis nebulosa (Clouded leopard), 531 nucleotides. RefSeq lists it as uncharacterized. The transcript is spliced from 3 exons. Lineage: Eukaryota; Metazoa; Chordata; Mammalia; Carnivora; Felidae. The record is from RefSeq and is a predicted model, not a curated record.
GGGCACCUCAUUAACAGUCACAAGGAAUGACAGCCCAGGUUCACUACUUGAACUUAUCUGACAUUGCUUUGACAAGAGUGCUGGAGAACAGCAUUAGAGCUUUACAAGAGUAGAGAAUCUCCACUCAGCCUUUGUUAACAUGGAUUUUGUUUCUCAUGUGUCACGGACAUAAAGAACAACUUACUGUCAGAGGUAGCCUGCCUUUCACAAAUGAGGGUCUUUGCAGAUUGAAUUAAAGAACAAAGAUGAGAUCCUCUUGGAGUAUCUGUGAGGGCCCUAACACCAAUGUCAAGUGUCCUUAUAAGAGAUACACAGAGAACAGAUAGAAAAGAAGGAGGCAAUGUGACCAGAGGCAGAGAUUGAAGUCAUGGAUCCAGAAGCCAAGCAAUGUCUGGAACUACCAGAAGCUCGAAGAGGCAAGGAACAGAGACUCCUCAAGAGCCUUCAAAGAAGCAGGCCCUUGACAACAACUUGAUUUUGAACUUUUAGCCUCCAGAACCAUGAGGAAAUAAACUGCUAUUGUUUAUGCCA